Long non-coding RNA from Phyllostomus hastatus (greater spear-nosed bat), 1081 nucleotides. RefSeq lists it as uncharacterized. NCBI's taxonomy places the organism in Eukaryota, Metazoa, Chordata, Mammalia, Chiroptera, Phyllostomidae. The transcript is spliced from 2 exons. The record is from RefSeq and is a predicted model, not a curated record.
ACCCCCAUCCCUCUGAGGUCCACGCACUGUGCGGAUCUCCAGAAAGUGGUCGCCGAGGGUGCCCUGCGAGGCAGGAAGGGGACGCGUCACUCGGGGAGACGGCAGUACGGGGCGCCGGGAGGACAAAACGAGCUGGGGAUUGAAGAGCGCGCCCCUACAAAGACCAGCAGUGGGCAGCACAGUCCAGUGCCAAGGUAGCCCGCAGAAAGAAGACGCGGACAGACUCGGGCCUCGGAGCCGGAGCCGAGAGGCGGCGAUCCGUUCUAAUGGAGAGUGCUCCGGGUUUCCGCGCCACGAUCGAGCGCUCGUACCGACCCCUGGAAACAGGCAGAGAGCAGCGCCCCGGGAGAUGGGGCUCCUAGCUCACCCGCAGGUUUUUCAAGCUUUUUGUAUCUGCUAAACCCUUUCUUCAGGGUGAGCCUUGCAUGAACACACAACCGUGUGGAACGAAGGCAGUUUUAAGGGGCGGCGCUGAUCGAAGGGAACGGUGUGCGUUGCCUUAGAAGCGGCAGGUGCUGGGGAGUCUAGCUCCAAAACCUACCCAAGAACUGGAAGCUAAAGUAGGAACUCCGUGCCGAUUGCGCUCAGCCUUCACACAGAGCUGAGAAUGGUUUGCCUGCACCCUGCCUACCACAGUGGAUUAGAAAAUGGUCAUGUUUCAGUUUAAUAUAAAGGUAUGGCUAGGGAAUGAUGUGUAUAAAAAGGCAUGUCAUACUGUGUGAUGAAACCAGAGCCAGUAAAUAAAUGCACAAGUGUUUCCCCAAACCUGGAAUGGCCAAGGACGACUGACGGCUGGCAGAGCCUGACAUACAAAGAGCCAAGCACACCGGCUCCAGCCCAGACCCAGAGGAGCAGAUGGCCCCUGCUGCCUGCGAGAGAGCCUGUGCAGCAGCCCUGGUCAGAGCCAAGGGCCUCAGAAACAGCCUUCUCAGGGCAUUCUGGCCAGCCCUGAGCAAGCCCAAAGCCACCAGUUUCCAGUCACUGUAGAUUUGGGGGUCAGGUGGGGAAACGGAGAAUGAAUCCAGAGAUGAAUAGUCUGCGUUUACCUCUCAGAGUGCAAAUAAAGACGUUUUAUCCCCCA